AGUCCAGCAUCCAUUGAAAACAUCUUAAGAGAAAAGUACAUACCUCACUUUUGCAUUUUAGUUUAUAGAUUGCCUGAAUGUUAGAAUGUGGAAAGUGGGGUCUAGAAGUAUGAUGAGACUGUUAGAAUGUGGAAAGUGGUCUAGAAGUAGAAUAGAGUGCAUGGUAAGAAGUACGAGAUUCUAUCUCAAAACCAAUUGGUGAUGAGUGGAGUAACUCGUACUCUUAUAAAUUGUUGAAUAUACCUACACACUUUCCAUGUGAGAUAUUUUCCCUAAUAUCCCCUCAAGAUGGUGGCUAUUUUUACUCACCAAUCUUGGACGGCUUGAUCGUAAGUGGCUCGUUGGCUCUUUUUGGCUCACUAUCACCGAAUCACAAAUUUGGAUUUGGAUCGGAUACAUAUUCGUUUGAAUUUUCUUUGGCUCUUGCUCACCAAUCUUGGACGGCUCGAUCGCAAGUGGCUCGUUGACUCUUUUGGAUUUGGAUCGGAUACAUACUCGUUAGAAUUUUCUUUGGCUCUUAAUACCAUGUUAGAAUGUGGAAAGUGGUCUAGAAGUAGAAUAGAGUGCAUGGUAAGAAGCAUGAGAUUUCAUCUCAAAACCAAUUGGUGAUGAGUGGAGGAAUUUGAAUAUACCCACAAACUUUCCAUGUAGGAUAUUUUCUCUAACAGAGACAAAUGUGUUGUUGUUAAUUCUAAUCUGCAACAAAAAAUCACACUCAACUGUGGUAAAGACAGAAGGAAAUUGGAACAGGGAGAUAACAUGAUACAUAAGUUGGUAAGGGCAAUGGAAAAUAGGCUCAAUAUGCCUUCUAAAACAGCCUCGAUCGAUCAAAAGACUGCAGCAUUUCAACCGAAUCCACAAUUAGGAAUUUUUAAUGAAAGUUUACACUGCAUUUGGGAUCAUACACUUGAAGAUAAAAGAAAAAACACCACAUUCUAAGAUUACAAGUAGGUUCUAAUACAGUCAAUACAUACACAUGAAAAAUAUUGACUCUCAAAAGCACCUGUAUAUAUCAUGCAAAGCAACAUUGCAGGAACACAAUAACAUAGAUUCACUUAUAACACACAAGAAAUAUUUAACAGGUCAAAGUAACUCUAGUUAUCAAACCACCAUAAACAUCAUUAGAACAAUAGCCACUACAAUGUUAAUUGAAGAAUUAUAGGAGACCACCAAUAUGUAAAGAAGAAAAGAGAAAAAAAAAAAAGCAUAAAAAAAAACAGUGCAAAAAAGCAUCAAAAUUGAAGUUUUCUCUUUAGUCUCUACAACCACCUUUGGUACUGAUGAAUUUGCAUAACCAACACAUGAAAAAAAAAAUAGCCCUUUUGUUCUACUUGCCAAAACUUAGACCAAUCAUUACUGAGAACAAAAAAAUUGGAGUAAUUUGGAUAAAUUCUACAAAUUGGGUGGCAAAAUAAGAAUAUUUUAAAAUUAUGGGCUAAAAUAUAAUUUAGCAAUAGUUUAGGACAAAUAUGAGAUUGGCAUAAUGAUAUUGUGUAAUAGCUAUAUCGUCCUCUUCUCCCUCAAAUAUGAGUCCUCAAAACUCUGAAAUCAAAUCUUGAUCUCUCGCAGGGUGUGCUUCAGCCUUCGGCAUUGACAGGUAAAUGGGUUUGUGGACAAUACUUGAGGGGUUUCUGCUAAUUGCAAAUGCAUUGGCCAUAUUAAAUGAGGACCGGUUUCUUGCACCGAAGGGAUUGAGCUUCUCAGAGUUUUCUGUAGGGAAGACAAAGUCAUUCAAGGGACAGCUGAUAGGUCUCAUUUAUGCAACUCAGUACUUGAGAUUUCCUCUGAUUUUGCUCAACUCCAUGUUUGUCUUUGUCAAGUUAGUAUCAGGAUGAUGUGAUAUAUGGGCUUGAUCUAGAUCUAUUGUAGAACAGUUUGUCUUACUUUUUGGUUUUGUUUAAACCAUGUAAUAGUUGAAAGUUAUUCCAAUAUUUUGGAGUUACAUUUUUUUUUUGUGUUGUAAAGCAUUUUUUUGUAACACACAAGCCAUUAUUAUUCUCCUAUCUUCUCUCUCUCUUA
This is a long non-coding RNA of Humulus lupulus (European hop), 2019 nucleotides long. RefSeq lists it as uncharacterized. The record is from RefSeq and is a predicted model, not a curated record. NCBI's taxonomy places the organism in Eukaryota, Viridiplantae, Streptophyta, Magnoliopsida, Rosales, Cannabaceae. The transcript is spliced from 2 exons.